This 492-nucleotide ribosomal RNA is filed under the name uncultured bacterium. RNAcentral's name for it is "partial 16S ribosomal RNA". It matches the Rfam family "Bacterial small subunit ribosomal RNA", at positions 29 to 507 of the family's 1533-position model. The record is from RNAcentral.
AGUGAACGCUGGCGGUAGGCCUAACACAUGCAAGUCGAACGGCAGCACAGUAAGAGCUUGCUCUUACGGGUGGCGGGUGGCGGACGGGUGAGGAGUACAUCGGAAUCUACUUUUUCGUGGGGGAUAACGUAGGGAAACUUACGCUAAUACCGCAUACGACCUACGGGGGAAAGCAGGGGAUCUUCGGACCUUGCGCGAUUGAAUGAGCCGAUGUCGGAUUAGCUAGUUGGCGGGGUAAAGGCCCACCAAGGCGACGAUCCGUAGCUGGUCUGAGAGGAUGAUCAGCCACACUGGAACUGAGACACGGUCCAGACUCCUACGGGAGGCAGCAGUGGGGAAUAUUGGACAAUGGGCGCAAGCCUGAUCCAGCCAUACCGCGUGGGUGAAGAAGGCCUUCGGGUUGUAAAGCCCUUUUGUUGGGAAAGAAAAGCAGCAGGUUAAUACCCCGCUGUUCUGACGGUACCCAAAGAAUAAGCACCGGCUAACUUCGUG